This 83-nucleotide transfer RNA is filed under the name Paenibacillus thiaminolyticus. RNAcentral's name for it is "tRNA-OTHER". The record is from RNAcentral. Lineage: Bacteria; Bacillati; Bacillota; Bacilli; Caryophanales; Paenibacillaceae.
GGUGGGGUAGCCACCCGGUAAUAGGUAGACGUCUCCUUCAACAGUAACUUCGGACAGGGGUUCGAAUCCCCUCGCCUCCACCA